This 253-nucleotide ribosomal RNA is filed under the name uncultured bacterium. RNAcentral describes it as "partial 16S ribosomal RNA". It matches the Rfam family "Bacterial small subunit ribosomal RNA", at positions 524 to 776 of the family's 1533-position model. The record is from RNAcentral.
GACGAACCGUGCAAACGUUAUUCGGAAUCACUGGGCAUAAAGGGCGCGUAGGCGGCUUGACAAGUCAGGGGUGAAAUCCGGCAGCUUAACUGUCGCAGUGCCUUUGAUACUGUCGAGCUCGAGGGAGGUAGGGGUCUGUGGAACUUCCGGUGGAGUGGUGAAAUGCGUUGAUAUCGGAAGGAACGCCGGUGGCGAAAGCGACGGACUGGAUCUCUUCUGACGCUGAGGCGCGAAAGCCAGGGGAGCAAACGGG